Molecule: small nucleolar RNA, 72 nt
Organism: Bison bison bison
Lineage: Eukaryota; Metazoa; Chordata; Mammalia; Artiodactyla; Bovidae
Source: Ensembl
GAGCAAUGAUGAAAAGAUUUUACUGCAGAACUUUAUAUAACUAUGAAGGUUUCUACACUUGAUCUGAGCUCA